UAAACCUUCCUCAUCUCUCUAACCAGAUCUAACUUCCCGAACCACCAUCAUUUACCCCUAAAUCCACACUCUUCCUUAAAGAGACAAGAACAGAGAUAGACAUACCCACCACCACCCUCUUCCUCCGCUUUUCUCUUACUCUUGAACCUUGUUUCUCUCUUUAAAAACAUCUGUCACAAUUCCACCUUUUUCCUCUCAAAUCUUUGCCAUGUUCCCAUGAAUCUAAACCCUCAAGAAAUCAAAAAAAAAAAAAAAAAACUAGAUUAAACUUAUAAAUCUUAUCAAGAAUCCACUCAGAUCUAUUUGGGAUCUCUCUUUCAUUAUUGUUCUCAGUAAGGGUUUUGAUUUACUUUUUGAUUACGGGCUAGAAGCACUCAGAUCGAACCCGGAGUGGAACCAAGUGUUUGCUUUUUCUCGAGAUAGGAUCCAGUCGACGAUGCUCGAGGUUGCUGUGAAGGAUAAAGAUCUUAUGAAAGACGAUUUCAUGGGUUGGGUGUCGUUUGAUCUGGUUAGAGAGAUGAGGAAGGUUUAGUGAGAGAUGAGGAAGGUUUAGUGAGAGAAAGGAUAAUAUUUUUUUCUUUUUUAUGUAUUUUUAAAGAAUAGGGUGAAAAGACAAUGUGCGUUGCACAUGACCAGAUUUGACAGAAAAAACUAACUGGGUUAGGGCUAAAGGACAAAACGUGUA
Long non-coding RNA from Helianthus annuus (common sunflower), 685 nucleotides. RefSeq lists it as uncharacterized. The record is from RefSeq and is a predicted model, not a curated record. The transcript is spliced from 2 exons. Lineage: Eukaryota; Viridiplantae; Streptophyta; Magnoliopsida; Asterales; Asteraceae.